Molecule: long non-coding RNA, 606 nt
Organism: Salvia miltiorrhiza (redroot sage)
Lineage: Eukaryota; Viridiplantae; Streptophyta; Magnoliopsida; Lamiales; Lamiaceae
Exons: 5
Source: RefSeq, a predicted model, not a curated record
CUACCCACUACCCAGGCAAUCUUUAAAAUACCGAAACUGGGAAGUUCCAUUUGAACUUGCUAUUAGAAGGAUGAAGAUUGAAAUCUGCAUUGGUGGUGGCAGUAUAGCAGACACUCUUUCUCAUGCUAUUCAUUUGGUGAUUGUGUCUAUUCCAGAACUUGGUUACGACUUUGAUACACUUUUGAAUAGGACGCUGCUGCUGUGAGGGGGUAAUCCGGAUCUGAAGUGAAGGCUUCAGAAUCGCAGAAAAGCUGGCGGCUACAAUGGCUUGGAGGGUCGCUGCUCCUAAUGGUAGCAUUCCCUCUAAUGACAUGGAGAGAAAUGGGGAAGGUAGACCUCAUGACUCAGAACCUCCUACCCCCCAUGCACUCAUGAAAAUGGGUUCAAGGUUGACAGCAUACUUGGCGCCCGUGGCGAUGCUUUUGAGCAUGAGGCAACUAGAAGAAUGCAUAAUGAAUUUAUGGUAGCUUGGGAUGGCUUGAGGUCAAAAGACAACCGGAGAAUCAUAGCAGGUUGAUUAACUAGUUCUUGAGGACUUGGUGCUAGAAACAUUGUAUGAUAGAUUUUUGUUUUAGCUAUAAGGUAGUUGGUAUUUUCAAUUUUGAA